RNAcentral lists this transfer RNA (73 nucleotides) under Ornithorhynchus anatinus (platypus). It matches the Rfam family "tRNA". From Rfam's summary of the family: Transfer RNA (tRNA) molecules are approximately 80 nucleotides in length. Their secondary structure includes four short double-helical elements and three loops (D, anti-codon, and T loops). Lineage: Eukaryota; Metazoa; Chordata; Mammalia; Monotremata; Ornithorhynchidae. The record is from Rfam by way of RNAcentral.
GGCAGAGUGGCUUAGUGGAAAAGAACAUGGCCCUGGUAGUCAGAGGACUUGGAUUCUAAUCCCAGCUCUGCCA